GUGUAUUCUUGUUAAAUUUUAAAGACACUGGUGAAGACCUUCGAAGUGUGCGAUCUUCCUGUUCGAGCUGCAAAGUUUGUUGCAAGGAAGAACUGGGUGGUGACAGGAGCAGAUGAUAUGCAGAUUAGGGUGUUCAAUUACAACACCCUAGAGAGAGUUCAUAUGUUUGAGGCACACUCCGACUACAUUCGCUGUAUUGCUGUGCAUCCAACCCAGCCAUUCAUUCUGACGAGCAGUGAUGACAUGCUUAUUAAACUCUG
Molecule: long non-coding RNA, 260 nt
Organism: Nannospalax galili (Upper Galilee mountains blind mole rat)
Lineage: Eukaryota; Metazoa; Chordata; Mammalia; Rodentia; Spalacidae
Exons: 3
Source: RefSeq, a predicted model, not a curated record